This 567-nucleotide ribosomal RNA is filed under the name Ascomycota sp. RNAcentral's name for it is "eukaryotic LSU rRNA". The stretch from base 191 to 344 matches the Rfam family "5.8S ribosomal RNA". Lineage: Eukaryota; Fungi; Ascomycota. The record is from RNAcentral.
AACAAGGUCUCCGUUGGUGAACCAGCGGAGGGAUCAUUACAGAGUGUAAAAACUCCCAAACCCUUUGUGAACAUACCACUGUUGCCUCGGCGGACCUACCCGGUAGCUACCCUGUAGCUACCCUGUAGCCGCCGGCGGACCACCAAACUCUGAUUAUGUAGAUAUCUGAGCGUACUUUUAAAUAAGUCAAAACUUUCAACAACGGAUCUCUUGGUUCUGGCAUCGAUGAAGAACGCAGCGAAAUGCGAUAAGUAAUGUGAAUUGCAGAAUUCAGUGAAUCAUCGAAUCUUUGAACGCACAUUGCGCCCAUUAGUACUCUAGUGGGCAUGCCUGUUCGAGCGUCAUUACGACCCUUAAGCCUAGCUUAGUAUUGGGAACCUACGUGCGGCAGCUACCCUGUAGCUUCCCUGUAGCUCCUUAAAGACAACGGCGGAGACGUGGAGUCCUCUGAGCUUAGUAACUUUUCUAGCUUCUGAGGGCGCCGCGGCCCCUGCCGUAAAACCCCAACUUUUAGUGGUUGACCUCGGAUCAGGUAGGAAUACCCGCUGAACUUAAGCAUAUCAAUAA